AUGGAGAAGGCAUUUGA
This 17-nucleotide microRNA is filed under the name Corchorus olitorius. Its description in RNAcentral is "hsa-miR-45". The record is from RNAcentral. Lineage: Eukaryota; Viridiplantae; Streptophyta; Magnoliopsida; Malvales; Malvaceae.